GGGUUGUGAGGUUAAGCGACUAAGCGUACACGGUGGAUGCCCUGGCAGUCAGAGGCGAUGAAGGGCGUGCUAAUCUGCGAUAAGCGCCGGUAAGGUGAUAUGAACCGUUAUAACCGGCGAUACCCGAAUGGGGAAACCCAGUGUGAUUCGUCACACUAUCAUUAACUGAAUCCAUAGGUUAAUGAGGCGAACCGGGGGAACUGAAACAUCUAAGUACCCCGAGGAAAAGAAAUCAACCGAGAUUCCCCCAGUAGCGGCGAGCGAACGGGGAGGAGCCCAGAGCCUGAAUCAGCAUGUGUGUUAGUGGAAGCGUCUGGAAAGGCGCGCGAUACAGGGUGACAGCCCCGUACACAAAAGCGCAUGUGCUGUGAGCUCGAUGAGUAGGGCGGGACACGUGGUAUCCUGUCUGAAUAUGGGGGGACCAUCCUCCAAGGCUAAAUACUCCUGACUGACCGAUAGUGAACCAGUACCGUGAGGGAAAGGCGAAAAGAACCCCGGCGAGGGGAGUGAAAAAGAACCUGAAACCGUGUACGUACAAGCAGUGGGAGCACAGGUUUACCUGUGUGACUGCGUACCUUUUGUAUAAUGGGUCAGCGACUUAUAUUCUGUAGCAAGGUUAACCGUAUAGGGGAGCCGGAGGGAAACCGAGUCUUAACCGGGCGUUAAGUUGCAGGGUAUAGA
Molecule: ribosomal RNA, 681 nt
Filed under: Salmonella enterica subsp. enterica serovar Bareilly
Lineage: Bacteria; Pseudomonadati; Pseudomonadota; Gammaproteobacteria; Enterobacterales; Enterobacteriaceae
Description: partial 23S ribosomal RNA
Rfam family: Bacterial large subunit ribosomal RNA
Source: RNAcentral